Molecule: non-coding RNA, 451 nt
Organism: Pelobates cultripes (western spadefoot toad)
Lineage: Eukaryota; Metazoa; Chordata; Amphibia; Anura; Pelobatidae
Source: the annotation of a GenBank genome assembly
CUUCAUAUCAAUUAAUAUUCAUUCAAAUAAAUAUUGGAUCACACAUUACAGAUUAUAACAAUAAUAAUUGAUAAAACAGUUUAUUAAUAAAUAAACACGCUAAAAUGGUGGAUCACACUUUGUGUUAGCAAGUAAUCAUUAAAAGCUAUUUAAAUAAGAAAAUGUAAAAUAUAUUCACAAAGAUUUAAUGAGAGCUUUCAAGUUUUCUUUAGGGGUGUUGUCUACUUAGGAAUAUCUUAACUGAGUCUUAGUUGACGUGUACCUUUAUACAUGAAAUACAGACAUUAACAUAUAAGAGCAGUCACUAUUCAAGCUCUAGUUAAUUUGCAAGCAAGACAUAGUAACCUCAAACAAAGGUUCUGCCCUCUCAUUGGAAUGUUUCUGAUGACCACUUUUAGAACAUUGGUCAAGAAUUAACACCACCUUCUACAUACAACUGCUAUAGUUAUUU